AGGAAGAUAAGGGAGAGAGAAGAUGAAGAUUGCUAGGAGAAAAUACAUACAUAUACAUAUUAUAUCUAUAUGUUUUCAUCAUCUAUAUAUACAAUUCAAUUAGGUAAAAACAAAUUUUUACUUCAUUACUGAUCUCCUUCCUCCUAAAAAGAAAAAGAAAGAAAAAUAGAGAGAGAGAGAGAGAGAGAAUAGAGAGGGUUCGGACAGCCCAUGAAGGAAGGAAAAUAGAGUUUUGUAAAUCCUCAUAGCUCACUUGGAAGGAAAAAGGAGAAAGAUAGCCAAAUUAAAGAUCAAAGGUAUAAACCUUAAUAACUAGUUUAUGUAUUUUAUUUCAAAUCAUAAGUUUAUGAUUUCAAAACCCCAAAACUCUUGAUAUACAUGUUUUUUAGUGUAUUAUAUUUAGAUCUAACCAUUUUGUGUGUCAAAAGUUGGAUCAAAAGAAAGAAAAUAAAAAUUAAUUUUUCAAGGCUAGAGAACCUUAACAUUUGGCUACUUUGAAAGGUUAUAAUUUAAGAUAUACACCUUUUUUGUGAUUCGUCAAAUAGGAGUGCUAGAUAUGUGAGUUAAUUGUUAAACCCAAGUGAUAGCACUCAAAAAUAUUGAUUUUUCAAGCCAUAUCACUUGUUUUGGUUGGAACAGUCUAGUUGAGGGAAAAAGAGGAAAAUAGUUGUUCUUGGUAAGUCCCUUCCAUGUGUAAUUUCGUCAAAUUUUGUUGGUUUAAAAAUUCUGGAAACAUUUGGUAGGAUAAUAUGAUGAGUUAACUGAGUCUAGUAAAAAGAUGGCGAUUUUUGGAUGUGUAGAAUGAGAGUUAUGGAUUUUACAAGAAAUGACUAUUUUAAAAGAGAACUAAAAUAACUUUUUUUGUGUAACUCCAAAAAUUAUGAAAUUUGUAUUGGAGGUAGAUUAUCAUGAAAAGAGUUUACCCUAAACAUUUCGUAAUUUUUUGGACAAAGUAAUGAUUUAUGAUAAUUGUGGCAAGAUCUGACUAUUUUAGACUCUUUAAAAAUAGUAAACGAAUGUGGAAAAUUCCAAAAAAAUAUAUGUUCAUGAGGGAAACUUAUUCUGUUGAUUCCCAGAACAUAAAAAUUUUCAGAUCUGUUUUGAUAUUUUUCAUGUAAAUGUUUGUGUUAUGAAUAAAUGGGAAUAAUAAGUUAUGUGAUGUCAUAAAUGGCAAAAAUAUAAUUUUAUGGCUUAAAGACUCUUCAUAUGAUAUGAUCAGAUUUUGGGAAGGUGUUUUGGUCAUUUUUGAUAAAAUGUUAUGUGUAUUGCAUUUUAGGUUUAUUAAAUAAAUGAAUUAGUAAAAGG
RNAcentral lists this long non-coding RNA (1305 nucleotides) under Panax ginseng (ginseng). RNAcentral describes it as "long non-coding RNA (PGIN_LNC004943)". The record is from RNAcentral. Lineage: Eukaryota; Viridiplantae; Streptophyta; Magnoliopsida; Apiales; Araliaceae.